RNAcentral lists this ribosomal RNA (253 nucleotides) under uncultured bacterium. RNAcentral's name for it is "partial 16S ribosomal RNA". It matches the Rfam family "Bacterial small subunit ribosomal RNA", at positions 524 to 776 of the family's 1533-position model. The record is from RNAcentral.
UACGAAGGGGGCUAGCGUUGCUCGGAAUUACUGGGCGUAAAGGGCGCGUAGGCGGAUAUUUAAGUCAGGGGUGAAAGCCCGGGGCUCAACCUCGGAACUGCCUUUGAUACUGGAUAUCUUGAGUUCGGGAGAGGUGAGUGGAAUGCCGAGUGUAGAGGUGAAAUUCGUAGAUAUUCGGAAGAACACCAGUGGCGAAGGCGGCUCACUGGACUGGUAUUGACGCUGAGGUGCGAAAGCGUGGGGAGCAAACAGG